AAGGUUUUGGUGCAUGUGAUGAAGCAAAUCAGUAUGAAUGAUGUCAUGAUACUGUAAACGCUUUCUGAUGUGCCACUCA
RNAcentral lists this small nucleolar RNA (79 nucleotides) under Cebus imitator (Panamanian white-faced capuchin). RNAcentral's name for it is "miRNA (ENSCCAG00000016618.1)". The stretch from base 10 to 72 matches the Rfam family "Small nucleolar RNA Z39". From Rfam's summary of the family: Z39 is a member of the C/D class of snoRNA which contain the C (UGAUGA) and D (CUGA) box motifs. Most of the members of the box C/D family function in directing site-specific 2'-O-methylation of substrate RNAs. Lineage: Eukaryota; Metazoa; Chordata; Mammalia; Primates; Cebidae. The record is from RNAcentral.